CCAAACAUGUAGGGUAAUCCCUUCCUUUGCAA
RNAcentral lists this transfer RNA (32 nucleotides) under Craugastor sartori (Chiapas dwarf robber frog). RNAcentral's name for it is "partial tRNA-Met". The record is from RNAcentral. Lineage: Eukaryota; Metazoa; Chordata; Amphibia; Anura; Craugastoridae.